CUCGGCUCGGGCCCCUCCGGCAGCGCCCAGCCCAGGGCUCCCCAACUCGCCGCCGCCGCCUGCUCCGCCGGGGCGUCCCAGCGCCUGGCCCGCCGGGGAGGGGCGAGCGGCGAAGGAAGGAGGGAUCGCCGGGCUGGGCAGGGGGGCCGGAGGGAGGAGCCCCGGCUGCAAGCUGACACCCGCGCGCCUCGCGGAACCCAGAGAGCUCCGGCGCGCACACACUCACUCGCAUUCACACUCGCACACCGCUCACUCACACCUUCCGGGGGCUGCGCCUCCCCGCCGCGCGCACCCCCGCGCCCCCAGCCUCGUCCUGGCCCCCUCCCUUGCGCCUCGCCACGCACCCCCGGCGGUCCUUCCCCACCCUCCGGCCCACCCCUGCCACCCCCUAAGCAUCCCCUAACUUUCUUCCAAAGAACCCCCACAACUCCUCACCGCUUCCACACACCCCUCCCACCGCAUCAGCGCGCUGGCGGGCGGCACUGCCCCCUGCGGGAAAGCUUCGGACACACAGACUGGCCGCGGACACUCGCUGCCUGGAGUUCCUCGGAGCACUGGACCCCGCCAGCCUGCUCGCCCUCGCCAGAUGCGUGGGGCAGAGGAUCGGGCCUAUUUAUGGCAUCCCGGAAUACGCCGGGUGGCCUUCUGCUCCUGCUCCCGUGGGGUUCCAACGCGCCCCCUCCCUAGCCCGGGUUUUUUACCUUGUUCAGGUGCCUAAAGUCACCCGCCACUAAAAUCCCAUAGAUCACCUGCGCCCCAUAGUUCCCGACCGGGUCCUUCUUUAAACGAACAACUCAGUCUUGGUUUCAGAAAGGGUUCGGAUUUGGUUCGUUGCGAAGGAAAAUUGUGUGCUGGUGAUCUCUGGAGUCGUUCACAAAGCUGCCUCGGUAGCCAAGGAGCAUAUAAAAAAAAAUACCCAACCAGUCUCAUGCUUACUUAAAGAAAUGCCUCUUGUAAUUACAUUAAGCUAGCAUCCCUCUCCAAACAGUUCCGGAAAGUUUUAAAAAGUAGAUCCCGUGUCAUCCACAGUAGGAAC
This 1036-nucleotide long non-coding RNA is filed under the name Panthera leo (lion). RNAcentral describes it as "lncRNA (ENSPLOG00000002163.1)". Lineage: Eukaryota; Metazoa; Chordata; Mammalia; Carnivora; Felidae. The record is from RNAcentral.